This 796-nucleotide ribosomal RNA is filed under the name Bacillus tequilensis. RNAcentral describes it as "bacterial SSU rRNA". It matches the Rfam family "Bacterial small subunit ribosomal RNA", at positions 56 to 835 of the family's 1533-position model. Lineage: Bacteria; Bacillati; Bacillota; Bacilli; Caryophanales; Bacillaceae. The record is from RNAcentral.
UGCAGUCGAGCGGACAGAUGGGAGCUUGCUCCCUGAUGUUAGCGGCGGACGGGUGAGUAACACGUGGGUAACCUGCCUGUAAGACUGGGAUAACUCCGGGAAACCGGGGCUAAUACCGGAUGGUUGUUUGAACCGCAUGGUUCAAACAUAAAAGGUGGCUUCGGCUACCACUUACAGAUGGACCCGCGGCGCAUUAGCUAGUUGGUGAGGUAACGGCUCACCAAGGCAACGAUGCGUAGCCGACCUGAGAGGGUGAUCGGCCACACUGGGACUGAGACACGGCCCAGACUCCUACGGGAGGCAGCAGUAGGGAAUCUUCCGCAAUGGACGAAAGUCUGACGGAGCAACGCCGCGUGAGUGAUGAAGGUUUUCGGAUCGUAAAGCUCUGUUGUUAGGGAAGAACAAGUACCGUUCGAAUAGGGCGGUACCUUGACGGUACCUAACCAGAAAGCCACGGCUAACUACGUGCCAGCAGCCGCGGUAAUACGUAGGUGGCAAGCGUUGUCCGGAAUUAUUGGGCGUAAAGGGCUCGCAGGCGGUUUCUUAAGUCUGAUGUGAAAGCCCCCGGCUCAACCGGGGAGGGUCAUUGGAAACUGGGGAACUUGAGUGCAGAAGAGGAGAGUGGAAUUCCACGUGUAGCGGUGAAAUGCGUAGAGAUGUGGAGGAACACCAGUGGCGAAGGCGACUCUCUGGUCUGUAACUGACGCUGAGGAGCGAAAGCGUGGGGAGCGAACAGGAUGAGAUACCCUGGUAGUCCACGCCGUAAACGAUGAGUGCUAAGUGUAGGGGUUUGUAU